This 29-nucleotide non-coding RNA is filed under the name Macaca fascicularis (crab-eating macaque). RNAcentral also lists the same sequence under 1 other name. Lineage: Eukaryota; Metazoa; Chordata; Mammalia; Primates; Cercopithecidae. The record is from RNAcentral.
UGCUCUGUCCGUGGAGAUGCAAGUGCCUU